UGGGAGAGAAAGGAGACUUUGAUUGGAUGAGCAGUGAUCGGGUGACUGAUUGGUUUAACUCAUCCUGAACCCAGGAGCUACAGAGAGCUGUGGUUUCUCUUGAAGGAUCAUAAGACAUGGAAACAGAGGUCGCUGCCAAUGGGAGCCAUGGAUGCAGCUACAGGUAGGAUAUUGGUCCAAGUAAUUGUCUUGCUGAAACGUGAUGGGAGGACAAGCAGAUGUGACAACUAAGCCCAGGAGCAGCAGCAAGCUGCCAUGGAACCCCCAUGUCAGGCAGAAUGCGAGUGGUUAGUGUGCAGCAGCAGGUUCCAGAACUUGAAGUCAGUGCUGUGAUCCAUGUCAGCACUCCAGUUGCCAUGGACGGAAUAUCGAAACAAUUGUGUCUGUGUUGCACAGCUGAGAGGGAACGCUGAAUUUCUGAAUGAUCUUGAUGCUGUGGACGUGGAAAGGAUAUUUCCUCUUGUGGGUGAGCCCAGCACUGAGGGACACUUUUAAAACUAGAAGCCACCCCACUAUUAGGACAAAAUGAGGGGACAUUUUUUCUCACUCAGAAGCUUGUGCAAUUUUGGAGAUCUCUAACUGAGUUGUUGUUGUUGAUGGCGUGCUCAUUGCAUAUUUUUGAGAUGGAAGUAGAUUCUUAGCAGGCAAGGGAAUCAAAGUUUGAGGGUAGAUAGGAAUAUGAAAUAUUGAACACAGACAUAUCAGCUAUAUUGAAUGACAAGAGCCGAACGGCGUUUUUCUGAACCUGGUUCGUAUGUUCCCAUGUUUCUAACUCUUGUAGGAUCUAUAAACUUCCAAGCAAACCCUCAUCAGCACCUACUUUCCAAAACCUCUGUUGGAUCAUAAGGAGGAACCUUAGACUCUCCCUAUUCCUUCAUUGCCAAGACUAUAGAAUAUGAACUGCCUCAACUGAGCUCAACUAAGUCGAUACAGACCAGGAUGUCAAAACUUGGGAUCUUCCAGCCUUUUUGGUUUAGCAAAACCAUGUCAAGCAACCCACUUAUUAUGUUGCCAGGGAAAGUUGUAUUUAUUUUGAAAGCAAAGCACUAUACAAGCUGUGCCACACAUUAGCAAACCUUUUCCCAAACAUUCAUAUUACUUUUGGAAAUAUGAUUUCUUCUUGGAAAUACACAAGUUGUCAUUUAAAGUGACUGAUUGUGCAUGGCAGUUAUUAAUGUUACAUUGGCUAAAUUCGAAUAUUUAUGAACCUGUACACUUUGAUUGUGGCCAAUGAUUUGUGUCAUACCCUAUUGAGUAGGUUGUUGAGCAUUGAAUCAAAUGCAAUUAUGUGUGAAAUGUAGGCAGCACAGGAGCAAGAUGGAAGAGUGUUUUAAUGAUUUUGGCAGAACUAUGAUGGAGUGAGACCACGGUGGAGAACUGACUAAGAUAAAAUGGCUGCAGAAAUGGCCAACAACAGAACCAUUGAAUUGAUAUAUGGAGAGUCUCGAAUGAUGGCAAUUGAUGUUCUCAAUGCCAAGAUGUUUAAAAAA
Rhincodon typus (whale shark) is the source of this 1490-nucleotide long non-coding RNA. RefSeq lists it as uncharacterized. The transcript is spliced from 4 exons. Lineage: Eukaryota; Metazoa; Chordata; Chondrichthyes; Orectolobiformes; Rhincodontidae. The record is from RefSeq and is a predicted model, not a curated record.